AAUGAACGCUGGCGGCAUGCCUUACACAUGCAAGUCGAACGGCAGCAUGACCUAGCUUGCUGGGUUGAUGGCGAGUGGCGAACGGGUGAGUAAUGCAUCGGAACGUGCCUUUUAGUGGGGGAUAACGUAGCGAAAGUUACGCUAAUACCGCAUAUUCUCUGAGGAGGAAAGCAGGGGACCUUCGGGCCUUGCGCUAGAAGAGCGGCCGAUGUCGGAUUAGCUAGUUGGUGAGGUAAAGGCUCACCAAGGCAACGAUCCGUAGCGGGUCUGAGAGGAUGAUCCGCCACACUGGCACUGAGACACGGCCCAGACUCCUACGGGAGGCAGCAGUGGGGAAUUGUGGACAAUGGGCGCAAGCCUGAUACAGCCAUGCCGCGUGAGUGAAGAAGGCCUUCGGGUGGUAAAGCUCUGGCGGCUGGGAAGAAAUCGCACCCUCUAAUACAGGGUGUGGAUGACGGUACCAGCAUAAGAAGCACCGGCUAACUACGUG
This 490-nucleotide ribosomal RNA is filed under the name uncultured bacterium. RNAcentral describes it as "partial 16S ribosomal RNA". It matches the Rfam family "Bacterial small subunit ribosomal RNA", at positions 29 to 507 of the family's 1533-position model. The record is from RNAcentral.